AGCUGUCUUCACCCAGUGGAUCCCGCACCUGGGCGGCAGGUGGAGCUGCCGGCCAGUCCUGGGCGGUGCGCCGGCACUCCUCAGCCCUUGGGCGGUGGAUGGGACUGGGCUCCGUGGAGCAGGGGGCGGCGCUCGUUGGGAAAGCUCGGGCCGCGCAGGAGCCCACGGCGGGCUGGGGAGGCUCAGGCACGGCGGGCUGCAGGUCCCGAGCUCUGCCCCGCGGGGAGGCAGCUAAGGCCCGGCGAGAAAUCGAGCACAGCAGCUGUCGGCCCAUGUGCUAAGCCCCUCACUCCCCGGGUCGGCGGGGCCCGCCGGCCACUCCGAGUGCGAGGCCCGCCGAGCCCACGCCUACCCGGAACUCGCGCUGGCCCGCAAGCGCCGCGCGCAGCCCCGAUUCCCGCCCGCGCCUCUCCCUCCACACCUCCCUGCAAGCUGAGGGAGCCGGCUCCGGCCUUGGCCAGCCCAGAAAGGGGCUCCUACAGUGCAGCGGCGGGCUGAAGAGCUCCUCAAGCACGGCCAGAGUGGGCGCUAAGGCCGAGGAGGCCCCGAGAGCGAGCGAGGGCUGUGAGCGCUGCCAGCAUGCUGUCACCUCUCAAUAGUAAGUUCUGGAAGCUGAGAAGUCCGAAAUCAAGGUACCAGCAGGGUCCGGUCUGCUGAGGGCUGCUCUCUGCUGUGCCCUCCAGAGAGAACAAAUGCUGUGUCCUCCAGGAGGAAGACCUGGCUCUCUGUGAAGACAUGGCUUGGAUUUAAUUGGGUUGUAAUGCACACAAAGUAAUCAAGUCAAAUCCACAAAUGGCCGUUGAGGACAACUAUUACAAGGAAAUAAGCUUGACAAAAUGCCCCUUUACUAAUUUCUGGCCUGAAAUCUACAGACCUUGCACCCCAGUUGAUAAAUAGCAGAAUUGGAAUUUAAACAGGCCUGGUGACCCAAAAACUUGACUCUAUAUCUUACCCUGAAGAAAUAUGCAAGUGAUAUCAAGCCUGAUAUUGAAACUUUAGUCCACUUCAUCAGACUUUGGAAAAAAACGUGACACUCAACAUAGCAGGUGCCCUAGACAAUGACGGAAUCUCGUUGAAAGCUCUUUAAGCUGAAAUUAAUUUAUGCUCGACAGUGAUUAAAAGAGAAAGUGAGAAGGGGAUGGAAAUUAACAAAUCCAUCUUUAUUGCUGAGAUCCCAUUAUGAUUAUAAGGAGAGAGAAAAAUCAACGUGGCGGGUGCCAGCUGCAAUCUGGAUGUGAUAGGUUAUAUUGGGCAACAAUGACAACAAUUCAGUGGGCUAAAGAAAAAGUUUAAUUUCUGCUGAUAUUGCAUAUCCAACAAGGACUGGAAGAGGGAAUCUUCACUUUGGACCCUAAAAGGUCCAGCCUGAUUUUGAAAUUUGAAGACAAAUUGAUAGGUGGAAACACGAUUCAAGAGAAGGUGAACACACCAUUGUUACUACAGACAGAAGAUGGAUUGAGGGAAGAGUGGCUUAUUUAAUUGGUGAAUUUUAGAGAAGAAAUUGAGAAUGUCUGCUACUUUUCAUCCCUCCUGAAACUACUACUAUUUUUAGAGGUGCCUAACAUGUUGACCUGCUCUUUGGUAGGUGGUAAACUUGCCUUGCAAACUCUUCUGCAAGAAAGGCUUGGGAUCUUUCAGUUUAGUUUAUAACUGACUAGAUUUAUCAGUCCAGAUUGGCUAGGUUAUGCUGGGUAACAAACAACACCAACAUUCUAGUAGAUUUUAAAUAAAGGUUUAACUUCUGCUUCUGCUUAUACUGCUUGUCCAACAAGUGUGAGUAGAGACACAGCCUGAUGGAGACUUAAUCUUAACAUUCUCAACUAUGAUUACCAAAGCAGAAAAAUAAAACACAUUAAAUCACAUGCUGGCUUAUGAAAGCCUCCAUCUUUAAGUGACAUGUGCACUCUCGUUCAUAGUUCAUUGGCCAAAGAAAGUCACCUGGCAUGCCUAAUUUCAAAGUGGUAAAAAAAUGCAAUUCUUCCAUGUGCCUAGAUGAAUGAACUACAGCACAUAUGUGGUGAAUAGCAUGGUGAGUGUCACAGUGAAUCAGUGUAAAAUAUACAACUCAGUGGUUUUUAGCAUAUUUGCAGAGCUGUGCCACCAUAAUCACAGUCAAUUUUAGAAUAUUUUUAUCACCCCCAAAAGAAACCCAUACCCAUUAAUUGUCAUUGUCUACACUUUUGAUUUAAUGAAAACUAAUCAGAUAAAAAAAGAAAACAUUAUUUUAUUUAUAAAACACAUUUGAUUUUACAAACAAUAACAUAUGCAUUAGGAAAGAGGAAACAUUUAGUUCCUUUGAGCUAUAGAAACGACUUCUAGGUCUUCAAGAAAGAGUUGGGCAUGAGGGGAUAUGUUCUCCUUUGUGCCUGAUUUUCCCAUGGAUUAGAGGUUUGCUGACAUUGUGUCUUUUGGCUCUUCCAAGAGCUACUGCUUUCUCCUAAAACAGAAUUUUGUAUUCAAGUCUUGCUUCUAAUCUUCCAUGUUCUUAUUUUUUUUCUCUUCAUCACAUUGCAAUAUUAAAGAAUUAGCAUGACAGUUUAAAUGCAUUUACACAAUACCUAAUGGUAAAAUGAAUGUUAUUAUCAUUGUCCUAUAUAUGUGCAAUUACCUGUAUUUAUACAAAGUUUCAUCACAAAAGUUGGCUUAUUUUAACUUCAUAGUAAGUUGUAAGAUACCUAUAAUUAUCUAAAUUUUACAAAUGAGAAAAUAACACUCAAUGCUAGAGGUAGAACCUAAACUCAGAUCUACUAAUUCCAUGCCCGGGGAUCUUCCCUGUAAUGAUUUUAGAAUAUCACUUCUUAUGGAAUUACAAAAGAAACAGGCAAGACUUUUAUAAUCAGUAGUUUCCAUCUGUAUCCCAAAGAUAAAUUGACUCAACAUAUUCAAUACUUAUUUAUUAGUUCCAAAGUGAUUGACAGCUGGGGCUCACAGAUCCUUUGGCUCUGAAAUAUGGAGGGAAAACCUGAGUAGAGAAAAAAAAAUGUGAUCAAAGCAGAACCAGGGAUCACCACAAACUUCAGAUCGAGGCACAUAAAUGAGAUAUCAGUGAGAAUGUCAAGGCAGUUGGGUCGGGCACUAGGAAAGCAUAGAUGCAAAAGAGAAAAUGGAGUUAAGGAAUCACAAUAUGUCAGAAAUAUGGUCAGAAUUAAAUCCAUUUUCCUGAAACCAUAGAAUAGAACAAGGCAGAAAAGGUGAGGCAUAAGACACCAAGGAGAAAACAAUUCUGAGACAAACUCCAGAAGCACGGUAUCAGUUGGGCAAUUAGC
RNAcentral lists this long non-coding RNA (3266 nucleotides) under Homo sapiens (human). Its description in RNAcentral is "HSALNT0154728". The record is from RNAcentral. Lineage: Eukaryota; Metazoa; Chordata; Mammalia; Primates; Hominidae.